This 2174-nucleotide long non-coding RNA is filed under the name Amborella trichopoda. Its description in RNAcentral is "long non-coding RNA (ATRI_LNC004553)". The record is from RNAcentral. Lineage: Eukaryota; Viridiplantae; Streptophyta; Magnoliopsida; Amborellales; Amborellaceae.
UUAACCUUACUCAAAAAUUUCUUAAUGGCAGCCUCUAGGCACUUGGAAAAAUAUAAUGCCUCAAGAUUGAAUAGAAAUCGUCCAAAUUUUUAAAGGUAAAAUCUAAGUGUUAGAAAACUGAAAUUUUUGUUUGAAAACAGUUAUCUAGUGAUUCUAAAGUGGUUACCAAAAUUCCAUAUUGAAAAAUCUUCCAAAGUAGCUCAUUUGAUUGAGUGAGUAGAAGUAAACUUAGCAUUGACAUAUUGAAUGGUUAUGAAUAAUUGUGAUCGAAAGGUAAAUGAUCUCAUUGUAUACAUUCUCUUAAAAUUAUUAUAAGAAUUGAUGGCUCUUAAAAUUAUUAUAAGGAUUGAUAGAUUAUAGGAAGAAUGUACAUUGUUGCAUCAUUCUUGAGUGGAGCGCUUAGACCAUCAUGGAGACCGCUAGAUUAGGUUAUUUGAGGUAUCCAUAACACAUUUGAAAAUUUGCAGUUUUGGUGUGUGAUGAGCUUGGCAGUCAAACGUCUACUGUAUGAAACUACGGUAAACUAUCUUUUUUUUUGUUUAGGUAGAUCAGUGGGGAUUAUAAGCCCCGGCUUGUUUUGAAAAUAGUAGAAAUUUUUUAAAUGCGUUAAUGAGAAUGGAGGUUGUGAUUUUUAAAUGGGGCGCAGUGAUACUACCAUCACGACCUGAGCCUCCCUUUCAACGGGCAAACCACUUAAGCAGUAAAUGUGGAAAACAACGUUAAAAUAAAUGUAUAUACUGAUUCAAACGGGAUUUUACUAAUUAUUAAUGAUGAACAUUAUCUUUAGAUCACUUUUAGUGCUUAUCAUGUGUAAGCCUUCUUAUAUAGCAUAUAUUAUAUAUUUGUUUGAAGGAAAAGGUUUUUAAGUACGGAAAAAGUUUGACCCUAAACAAUGAAAUUAAGUCGCACUUCAAAAUUUUACUAAAGAAGGAUGUUUUGAUGCUAAAAACCCCUCAAUUUGAUCAUCUCGAUCUCAAGAUGCACGGACAUGAGAAAAAAUAGAUUUCACGUUUUGAUAAUAGUGCAUCUUAUAAUGCAUUUUUUAGACUAUUUCAAGAUUUUCAGGUGAUCAUAAAUCUGCCCAAUCUACACUAUUUUUUAAUCUUUAAAUUUUAUGUUUAGAGAUGAAAAUAAAUUCAGGCUAUCAUAUAGAUUUCUAAUACAAAAUAUUUCAGCACAAUUUGAAGGUGUGUGUUACUCUGAUUGUUAAAACCUAAGCCUUGUACAAACCACUCUCUAAAAACUUUUAAGGUGAAGGCUUUAGAUUCAUUUUUGUCCUAAGAAUACCAAUAGCCCUAUAUUGUAUACCAAGAACUAGAGGUAACCUAUUUUCCCCAAAAAAAAAAAAAAAAAAAAACUAGGGUUAACCUUUUUACCACUCAAACAAGAGAUUGAGUGGUAACCAAACAUUUGCCUAAGACAAAUUACACCCCACCAUUCCAUUCAUUAUAUAUGGGAAUAAUUAAAAUUUUCAGUUACAAAAGUGUGAUUUUUAAUAUUAUUAAAACUAUUGGAGUUUCACUUCUAGGGGUGAACUAUCAAUGAAACAUUUCUAGUUCUCCCAGGAGAGUAUGAGGAAAUUAAGGGACAUGUCAUUGAGUUGGGGUCUCUUAAAACAUUGCAAAGAAGCUGAUGCUCUAGGAGUAAUCAUUAGGUUGGAACAACCUUGCUUUGACCAUGGACUAUCCAAAUGAAGUUUGGCGCACAGGAUAUUCUCAUCCGAAUAUUGUCGAGAUUGGCUGUAAAGAAAGAGAUCUUUCAAAUUUUUAGAGAGAGAAACUAUUUGAAAUUUUAAAUUUUAGAGAGAAAAAUUCUAUUAAAAUUUUAGAGAAAAAAAAUAUUUUAAAUUUUUUUAGCGAGAUAAAUUAUCUUAAAAUUUUUAGAAAGAGAAAUUAUACCAAAUUUUAAAACUGAAUGCUUGUACACAAACUACAUAAUUAACCACGGAUUAGGCAAUUGUAUCAAUGAUUAUGGACUAAGAUAGUUGUGUCGUUUUUUUUAGGAGACCUGAUGGGAAAGUUGAUGUUGCAUGAACUCUUGAUAUGUGGGGAAGAUGCAUUCCUUGAGGCAACUGAUGCAUUCCCAUUCCCUGAGGCAACAGAUGAGAGCAGGAUUUGGUGGUCAGGGCUUCUUUGGCUGUAACUUGCGGAAUGAAAGCGAGACAAGGAUGGACG